This 90-nucleotide microRNA precursor is filed under the name Podarcis lilfordi (Lilford's wall lizard). Lineage: Eukaryota; Metazoa; Chordata; Lepidosauria; Squamata; Lacertidae. The record is from RNAcentral.
CCUCCAGCUAUUUUGGGACUACAAUUCCCAUCAUCCCUGACCACUGUUCCUGUUAGAUGAUGGGAGUUGUAGUCCCAAAACAGCUGGAGG